RNAcentral lists this ribosomal RNA (254 nucleotides) under uncultured bacterium. Its description in RNAcentral is "partial 16S ribosomal RNA". It matches the Rfam family "Bacterial small subunit ribosomal RNA", at positions 524 to 776 of the family's 1533-position model. The record is from RNAcentral.
UACGUAGGCAGCAAGUGUUGUUCGGAGUUACUGGGCGUAAAGGGUGUGUAGGCGGUUGUUUAAGUUUGGUGUGAAAUCUCCCGGCUCAACUGGGAGGGUGCGCCGAAUACUGAAUGACUUCGAGUGCGGGAGAGGAGAGUGGAAUUCCUGGUGUAGCGGUGAAAUGCGUAGAUAUCAGGAGGAACACCGGCGGUGUAGACGGCUCUCUGGACCGUAACUGACGCUGAGACACGAAAGCGUGGGUAGCAAACAGG